Molecule: small RNA, 125 nt
Filed under: Marmota monax (woodchuck)
Lineage: Eukaryota; Metazoa; Chordata; Mammalia; Rodentia; Sciuridae
Source: RNAcentral
GCCAGGCAUGGUGGUGCACACCUGUAAUCCUAGUGGCUUGGGAGGCUGAGGCAGGAAGAUCAUGAGUUCAAAGCCAGCCUCAGCAACAGUGAGGCACUAAGCAACUCAGUGAGAGCCUGUCUCUA